Molecule: ribosomal RNA, 254 nt
Filed under: uncultured bacterium
Lineage: Bacteria
Description: partial 16S ribosomal RNA
Rfam family: Bacterial small subunit ribosomal RNA
Source: RNAcentral
UACAGAGGGUGCGAGCGUUAAUCGGAAUUACUGGGCGUAAAGGGCGCGUAGGCGGUCGUGACAAGUCACUUGUGAAAUCUCCGGGCUUAACUCGGAACGGUCAAGUGAUACUGUCGGACUAGAGUACAGAAGGGGCAACUGGAAUUCUCGGUGUAGCGGUGAAAUGCGUAGAUAUCGAGAGGAACACCUGCGGCGAAGGCGGGUUGCUGGGCUGAUACUGACGCUGAGGCGCGAAAGCCAGGGGAGCGAACGGG